Molecule: unclassified non-coding RNA, 368 nt
Filed under: Chamaemelum nobile
Lineage: Eukaryota; Viridiplantae; Streptophyta; Magnoliopsida; Asterales; Asteraceae
Description: partial external transcribed spacer
Source: RNAcentral
CGUAAAGGUGCAUGAGUGGUGUUUGGUUUGUUACGUGUGGUUGGCUGCGGCGCUUGCAACAACUUCCAUGCUCUCAUACCUCUUCAGUAGUGCGACAAGGCUUGUAUCGCCUUGAGCGUCACGUGGGUUUUCUGUGUUGAAUACCUAAUCAACGGUAUCGGUUGGAUAGAUCAAAAGUUUUUUUUCGCCUUGCGUUGCAUUUGCGACGUGAGGUGAACCUGAAUGCGUUCUCUUUGAUCCACUUUGUCGGAGCACAAGCUUCGACAUUGUGGCACAUUGAGUAUUGCUUGGUUUCUCGUAUACCGAACAUAACGUGGGCUUGGAUCUAACGAUUCUUGUUUGCCCUUGUUUCAGCGUCUAAAACGACU